RNAcentral lists this ribosomal RNA (253 nucleotides) under uncultured bacterium. Its description in RNAcentral is "partial 16S ribosomal RNA". It matches the Rfam family "Bacterial small subunit ribosomal RNA", at positions 524 to 776 of the family's 1533-position model. The record is from RNAcentral.
UACGAAGGGGGCUAGCGUUGCUCGGAAUCACUGGGCGUAAAGCGCACGUAGGCGGAUUGCUAAGUCAGGGGUGAAAUCCUGGAGCUCAACUCCAGAACUGCCCUUGAUACUGGCGGUCUCGAGUCCGGGAGAGGUGAGUGGAACUGCGAGUGUAGAGGUGAAAUUCGUAGAUAUUCGCAAGGACACCAGUGGCGAAGGCGGCUCACUGGCCCGGUACUGACGCUGAGGUGCGAAAGCGUGGGGAGCAAACAGG